This 515-nucleotide ribosomal RNA is filed under the name uncultured bacterium. RNAcentral describes it as "bacterial SSU rRNA". It matches the Rfam family "Bacterial small subunit ribosomal RNA", at positions 8 to 524 of the family's 1533-position model. The record is from RNAcentral.
AGAGUUUGAUCCUGGCUCAGGAUGAACGCUAGCUGGAGGCUUAAUACAUGCAAGUCGAGCGGGAUUGGUAGCAAUACCAUGAGAGCGGCGCACGGGUGAGUAACGCGUACACGACCUACCUCUGACAGGGGGAUAGCCCUGGGAAACUGGGAUUAAUACCGCAUAUUAUUCUGAUUAAUAAAGGAUUGGAAUGAAAGCUGAGGCGGUCAGAGAUGGGUGUGCGUCUGAUUAGCUAGUUGGUAGGGUAACGGCCUACCAAGGCGAUGAUCAGUAGGGGGCGUGAGAGCGUGGUCCCCCACACGGGUACUGAGACACGGACCCGACUCCUACGGGAGGCAGCAGUAAGGAAUAUUGGUCAAUGGGCGAAAGCCUGAACCAGCCAUCCAGCGUGCAGGAAGAAGGCCCUAUGGGUUGUAAACUGCUUUUAUCAGGGAAGAAACCUCUGGAUUCACUCCGGAGCUGACGGUACCUGAAGAAUAAGCACCGGCUAACUCCGUGCCAGCAGCCGCGGUAAU